RNAcentral lists this long non-coding RNA (583 nucleotides) under Bos indicus x Bos taurus (hybrid cattle). RNAcentral's name for it is "lncRNA (ENSBIXG00005031413.1)". The record is from RNAcentral. Lineage: Eukaryota; Metazoa; Chordata; Mammalia; Artiodactyla; Bovidae.
GUGCUAAGUGUCUCGAGAUAAGUGUCUGGCACUCAGGGUCAUCACUUAGGGCUGCACCCGCCCCACCCCCAUCACACGCAGGUCACUUGCUAGCUGCCAGCUCUCCCCCUCAGAUGGCAAUCAGGGGACGCUGAGACAUGGAACUGUGUCUGCCUCUGUUUCCAACAAACUCGUGAUCUUUCGUCUCUCUCUGCCCUCAAAAGAAAAAAAAGAAAGUCCAGGCUUAUGGUGGACGUCCUUGGUGGCUCAGCGAUAAAGAAUCUGCCUGCCAAUGUGUGAGACAUGGGUUCAGUCCCUGGGUCAGGAAGAUUCCCUAGAGAAGGAAAUGGCAACCCACUCCAGUAUUCUUGCCUGGAAAGUUCCAUGGACAGGAGCAAGCUACAGUCUAUCGGGUCACAGAGAGAUGGACACGACUUGGCGACUACACAACACCAACAAGGCAUAUGCACUGGGUUGCGGUGAGAGGGAGAGAAGCACUGGCUCUGAGGAAACCAUAUUCCUGAGUCACAUGUGGCCCGUGUCAGGCACCCCUGCUGCUGCUGCUGGUCAUGGUGUAGAUGGGAGGACGGCGGGGAACAGCUGA